GUGAGUCAUCGAAUCUUUGAACGCACAUUGCGCCCUUUGGUAUUCCGAAGGGCAUGCCUGUUCGAGCGUCAUUAUCACCCCUCAAGCCCCGUGCUUGGUGUUGGACGGCUGGUCGAGCGAAUCGACCCCUUCUAAAGGCAAUGACGGCGGCCUGUGGUUCCCCCGGUACACUGAGCUUCUCAUCGAGCACGUGUCGGACCAGGGCACCCGGGUUCCGGUCCCCUCCUUUCACAAGGAAACUUCUAAUGGUUGACCUCGGAUCAGGUAGGAAUACGCGCUGAACUUAAGCAUAUCAAUAAGCGGAGGA
This 307-nucleotide unclassified non-coding RNA is filed under the name Cladophialophora sp. RNAcentral describes it as "partial contains 5.8S ribosomal RNA, internal transcribed spacer 2, and large subunit ribosomal RNA". The stretch from base 1 to 71 matches the Rfam family "5.8S ribosomal RNA", at positions 84 to 154 of the family's 154-position model. Lineage: Eukaryota; Fungi; Ascomycota; Eurotiomycetes; Chaetothyriales; Herpotrichiellaceae. The record is from RNAcentral.